RNAcentral lists this ribosomal RNA (468 nucleotides) under uncultured bacterium. Its description in RNAcentral is "partial 16S ribosomal RNA". It matches the Rfam family "Bacterial small subunit ribosomal RNA", at positions 28 to 507 of the family's 1533-position model. The record is from RNAcentral.
GACGAACGCUGGCGGCGUGCUUAACACAUGCAAGUCGAACGGAAAGGCCCUGCUUUUGUGGGGUGCUCGAGUGGCGAACGGGUGAGUAACACGUGAGUAACCUGCCCUUGACUUUGGGAUAACUUCAGGAAACUGGGGCUAAUACCGGAUAGGAGCUCCUGCUGCAUGGUGGGGGUUGGAAAGUUUCGGCGGUUGGGGAUGGACUCGCGGCUUAUCAGCUUGUUGGUGGGGUAGUGGCUUACCAAGGCUUUGACGGGUAGCCGGCCUGAGAGGGUGACCGGCCACAUUGGGACUGAGAUACGGCCCAGACUCCUACGGGGGGCAGCAGUGGGGAAUAUUGCACAGUGGGCGGAAGCCUGAUGCAGCAACGCCGCGUGCGGGAUGACGGCCUUCGGGUUGUAAACCGCUUUCGCCUGUGACGAAGCGUGAGUGACGGUAAUGGGUAAAGAAGCACCGGCUAACUACGUG